This 207-nucleotide long non-coding RNA is filed under the name Carica papaya (papaya). RNAcentral's name for it is "long non-coding RNA (CPAP_LNC014663)". The record is from RNAcentral. Lineage: Eukaryota; Viridiplantae; Streptophyta; Magnoliopsida; Brassicales; Caricaceae.
GUUCCUUAAUAGAUUCCUGUAAUCAUGUACUUAAGGAGAAAUGUUUGUAUAAAAUUAGAAAGAUAUGAUUCCACAUAUUUAAGGAGGUCUUAGGGGCCUGAAUCAAGGAGAACUAAUUGUACAUAAUUAAGAAAAUCCUUAAUUUAAGGGAUUUGAUUGUAAUAGACCCUGUGACGUUUGUAUAUAUAUGUAAUAAACUGAAUGGGA